RNAcentral lists this ribosomal RNA (429 nucleotides) under Chloroflexota bacterium. RNAcentral describes it as "Chloroflexi bacterium partial 16S ribosomal RNA". It matches the Rfam family "Bacterial small subunit ribosomal RNA", at positions 355 to 776 of the family's 1533-position model. The record is from RNAcentral. Lineage: Bacteria; Bacillati; Chloroflexota.
UGGGGAAUAUUGCACAAUGGGCGCAAGCCUGAUGCAGCCAUGCCGCGUGUGUGAAGAAGGCCUUCGGGUUGUAAAGCACUUUCAGCUGGGAGGAAGGCGAUAAGGUUAAUAACCUCAUCGAUUGACGUUACCCGCAGAAGAAGCACCGGCUAACUCCGUGCCAGCAGCCGCGGUAAUACGGAGGGUGCAAGCGUUAAUCGGAAUUACUGGGCGUAAAGCGCACGCAGGCGGUCUGUCAAGUCGGAUGUGAAAUCCCCGGGCUCAACCUGGGAACUGCAUUCGAAACUGGCAGGCUAGAGUCUUGUAGAGGGGGGUAGAAUUCCAGGUGUAGCGGUGAAAUGCGUAGAGAUCUGGAGGAAUACCGGUGGCGAAGGCGGCCCCCUGGACAAAGACUGACGCUCAGGUGCGAAAGCGUGGGGAGCAAACAGG